RNAcentral lists this ribosomal RNA (252 nucleotides) under uncultured bacterium. RNAcentral describes it as "partial 16S ribosomal RNA". It matches the Rfam family "Bacterial small subunit ribosomal RNA", at positions 524 to 776 of the family's 1533-position model. The record is from RNAcentral.
UACGUAGGGCGCAAGCGUUAUCCGGAAUUAUUGGGCGUAAAGAGCUCGUAGGCGGUUUGUCGCGUCUGCCGUGAAAGUCCGGGCUCAACUCCGGAUCUGCGGUGGGUACGGGCAGACUAGAGUGAUGUAGGGGAGACUGGAAUUCCUGGUGUAGCGGUGAAAUGCGCAGAUAUCAGGAGGAACACCGAUGGCGAAGGCAGGUCUCUGGGCAUUAACUGACGCUGAGGAGCGAAAGCAUGGGGAGCGAACGGG